RNAcentral lists this ribosomal RNA (460 nucleotides) under uncultured bacterium. RNAcentral's name for it is "partial 16S ribosomal RNA". It matches the Rfam family "Bacterial small subunit ribosomal RNA", at positions 338 to 795 of the family's 1533-position model. The record is from RNAcentral.
GCUACGGGAGGCAGCAGUGAGGAAUAUUGGUCAAUGGACGGAAGUCUGAACCAGCCAUGCCGCGUGCAGGAAGACGGCUCUAUGAGUUGUAAACUGCUUUUGUACAAGGGUAAACCAGAAUACGUGUAUUCAGCUGAAAGUACUGUACGAAUAAGGAUCGGCUAACUCCGUGCCAGCAGCCGCGGUAAUACGGAGGAGCCAAGCGUUCUCCGGAUGUAUUGGGUUGAAAGGGUGCGUAGGCGGAUUGAUAAGUUAGCGGUGCAAUGUCCGCGCUUAACUCGGGAACUGCCUCUCAUACUGUUGCUCUAGAGAGUAGGUGCGGUAGUCGGACUGUCUGGUGUAGCCGUGAAAUGCUUAGAGAUCAUACAGAACACCGAUUGCGACGGCAGCUUACCACUCUAUAUCUGACGUUGAGGCACGAAAGCGUGGGGAGCAAACAGGAUUAGAUACCCCUGUAGUC